This 618-nucleotide ribosomal RNA is filed under the name uncultured Caulobacter sp. RNAcentral's name for it is "bacterial SSU rRNA". It matches the Rfam family "Bacterial small subunit ribosomal RNA", at positions 406 to 1038 of the family's 1533-position model. Lineage: Bacteria; Pseudomonadati; Pseudomonadota; Alphaproteobacteria; Caulobacterales; Caulobacteraceae. The record is from RNAcentral.
UGAUGAAGGUCUUAGGAUUGUAAAAUUCUUUCACCGGGGACGAUAAUGACGGUACCCGGAGAAGAAGCCCCGGCUAACUUCGUGCCAGCAGCCGCGGUAAUACGAAGGGGGCUAGCGUUGCUCGGAAUUACUGGGCGUAAAGGGAGCGUAGGCGGAUAGUUUAGUCAGAGGUGAAAGCCCAGGGCUCAACCUUGGAAUUGCCUUUGAUACUGGCUAUCUUGAGUAUGGAAGAGGUAUGUGGAACUCCUGAGUGUAUGAGGUGAAAUUCGUAGAUAUUCGGAAGAACACCAGUGGCGAAGGCGACAUACUGGUCCAUUACUGACGCUGAGGCUCGAAAGCGUGGGGAGCAAACAGGAUUAGAUAUCCUGGUAGUCCACGCCGUAAACGAUGAGUGCUAGUUGUCGUCAUGCAUGCAUGUCGGUGACACAGCUAACGCAUUAAGCACUCCGCCUGGGGAGUACGGUCGCAAGAUUAAAACUCAAAGGAAUUGACGGGGGCCCGCACAAGCGGUGGAGCAUGUGGUUUAUAUUCGAAGCAACGCGCAAGAACCAUUACCACCUUUUGACAUGCCCGGACCACCAGAGAGAUCUGGCUUUCCCUUCGGGGACUGGACACAGG